Molecule: ribosomal RNA, 561 nt
Filed under: Triticum aestivum (bread wheat)
Lineage: Eukaryota; Viridiplantae; Streptophyta; Magnoliopsida; Poales; Poaceae
Description: partial small subunit ribosomal RNA
Source: RNAcentral
AUGGACAUGGCCGUCUCCUAUGAGCACCUUGCCAUGGUGACCACGGUUACUGCCGCCACUCCGACACGCCCUGGUCGUCCUACACACCUUGUCCCAGCAGCCCUAGGUGUUGCCACAGGCGACCCCUCUUCUGGGGGCGGGCCUGUCUUCAAAAAGCUUAACGCCGCCGAGAUGGAGGACAGACGCAGCAAGGGACUAUGCUUCAACUGUGAUGAGAAGUAUGUUCGGGGACAUCGCUGCAAGUGCCUCUUCUACAUCGAGUCCGCCGACAACGACGAGGAAGACAAUGAUGACAACCUACACAUCUCGCUGCUCGCAAUCACCGGCGUACGUGCCAGUGACACAAUGCAGCUAGUGGUCCGUGUAGGCGAGUGUGAAUUGGUCGCUCUCCUCGACUCUGGUAGCACUCACAAUUUCAUCAACGAGGAGAUGGCUGCACAAGUGGGCAGCCACUUCUCCACAGGGCGCCGCCUCCGCGUAAUAGUAGCCAAUGGAGAUCAUGUCACAUGUCCAAGAAGACUUCCUUGUCGAUCUUUACGCCAUCCCCUUGGGUGGGUUUGA